RNAcentral lists this ribosomal RNA (248 nucleotides) under uncultured Actinomycetales bacterium. Its description in RNAcentral is "partial 16S ribosomal RNA". It matches the Rfam family "Bacterial small subunit ribosomal RNA", at positions 524 to 771 of the family's 1533-position model. Lineage: Bacteria; Bacillati; Actinomycetota; Actinomycetes; Actinomycetales. The record is from RNAcentral.
UACGUAGGGCGCAAGCGUUAUCCGGAAUUAUUGGGCGUAAAGAGCUCGUAGGCGGUUUGUCGCGUCUGCCGUGAAAGUCCGGGGCUUAACCCCGGAUCUGCGGUGGGUACGGGCAGACUAGAGUGCAGUAGGGGAGACUGGAAUUCCUGGUGUAGCGGUGAAAUGCGCAGAUAUCAGGAGGAACACCGAUGGCGGAGGCAGGUCUCUGGGCUGUAACUGACGCUGAGGAGCGAAAGCAUGGGGAGCGA